GAUGAACGCUGGCGGCGUGCUUAACACAUGCAAGUCGAACGAUGAAGCCCAGCUUGCUGGGCGGAUUAGUGGCGAACGGGUGAGUAACACGUGAGUAACCUGCCCUUGACUCUGGGAUAAGCCCGGGAAACUGGGUCUAAUACCGGAUAGGAGCGCCUGUCGCAUGACGGGUGCUGGAAAGAUCUUUCGGUCAUGGAUGGACUCGCGGCCUAUCAGCUUGUUGGUGAGGUAACGGCUCACCAAGGCGACGACGGGUAGCCGGCCUGAGAGGGUGACCGGCCAAAAGGGGACUGGAACAAGGCCCAAACCCCUAGGGGAGGGAGGAGGGGGGAAAAUUGCAAAAUGGGGAAAAGCCUGAUGCAGGGACGCCGGGGGGGGGAGGACGGCCUUGGGGUUGAAAACCUCUUUAAGGAGGAAAGAAGCGAAAGGGAGGGUACCGGAAAAAGAAGCACCGGCAAACUACGU
This 465-nucleotide ribosomal RNA is filed under the name uncultured bacterium. RNAcentral describes it as "partial 16S ribosomal RNA". It matches the Rfam family "Bacterial small subunit ribosomal RNA", at positions 28 to 506 of the family's 1533-position model. The record is from RNAcentral.